GAUGAAGAACGUAGCGAAAUGCGAUAAGUAAUGUGAAUUGCAGAAUUCAGUGAAUCAUCGAAUCUUUGAACGCACAUUGCGCCCGCCAGUAUUCUGGCGGGCAUGCCUGUUCGAGCGUCAUUUCAACCCUCAAGCCCAGCUUGGUGUUGGGAUCUGUCCUUACCGACAGUCCCCAAAUUGAUUGGCGGUCACGUCGAGCUUCCAUAGCGUAGUAAUUUACACAUCGUUACUGGUAAUCGUCGCGGCCACGCCGUUAAACCCCAACUUCUGAAUGUUGACCUCGGAUCAGGUAGGAAUACCCGCUGAACUUAAGCAUAUCAAUAAGCGGAGGA
RNAcentral lists this unclassified non-coding RNA (332 nucleotides) under soil metagenome. RNAcentral's name for it is "partial contains 5.8S ribosomal RNA, internal transcribed spacer 2, and large subunit ribosomal RNA". The stretch from base 1 to 120 matches the Rfam family "5.8S ribosomal RNA", at positions 35 to 154 of the family's 154-position model. The record is from RNAcentral.